RNAcentral lists this ribosomal RNA (468 nucleotides) under uncultured bacterium. RNAcentral describes it as "partial 16S ribosomal RNA". It matches the Rfam family "Bacterial small subunit ribosomal RNA", at positions 28 to 507 of the family's 1533-position model. The record is from RNAcentral.
GACGAACGCUGGCGGCGUGCUUAACACAUGCAAGUCGAACGGAAAGGCCCUGCUUUUGUGGGGUGCUCGAGUGGCGAACGGGUGAGUAACACGUGAGUAACCUGCCCUUGACUUUGGGAUAACUUCAGGAAACUGGGGCUAAUACCGGAUAGGAGCUCCUGCUGCAUGGUGGGGGUUGGAAAGUUUCGGCGGUUGGGGAUGGACUCGCGGCUUAUCAGCUUGUUGGUGGGGUAGUGGCUUACCAAGGCUUUGACGGGUAGCCGGCCUGAGAGGGUGACCGGCCACACUGGGACUGAGAUACGGCCCAGACUCCUACGGGAGGCAGAAGUGGGGAAUAUUGCACAAUGGGCGGAAGCCUGAUGCAGCAACGCCGCGUGCGGGAUGACGGCCUUCGGGUUGUAAACCGCUUUCGCCUGUGACGAAGCGUGAGUGACGGUAAUGGGUAAAGAAGCACCGGCUAACUACGUG